This 506-nucleotide ribosomal RNA is filed under the name uncultured bacterium. RNAcentral describes it as "partial 16S ribosomal RNA". It matches the Rfam family "Bacterial small subunit ribosomal RNA", at positions 29 to 523 of the family's 1533-position model. The record is from RNAcentral.
AGUGAACGCUGGCGGUAGGCCUAACACAUGCAAGUCGAACGGCAGCACAGGAGAGCUUGCUCUCUGGGUGGCGAGUGGCGGACGGGUGAGGAAUACAUCGGAAUCUACUCUGUCGUGGGGGAUAACGUAGGGAAACUUACGCUAAUACCGCAUACGACCUACGGGUGAAAGCAGGGGACCUUCGGGCCUUGCGCGAUUGAAUGAGCCGAUGUCGGAUUAGCUAGUUGGCGGGGUAAAGGCCCACCAAGGCGACGAUCCGUAGCUGGUCUGCGAGGAUGAGCAGCCACACUGGAACUGAGAGACGGUCCAGACUCCUACGGGAGGCAGCAGUGGGGAAUAUCGGACAAUGGGCGCAAGCCUGAUCCAGCCAUACCGCGUGGGUGAAGAAGGCCUUCGGGUUGUAAAGCCCUUUUGUUGGGAAAGAAAUCCAGCUGGCUAAUACCCGGUUGGGAUGACGGUACCCAAAGAAUAAGCACCGGCUAACUUCGUGCCAGCCGCCGCCGUAA